AUGAAUGUAUUAUAAUUUAGGAGCCCCAAUUUAUAAAUUAAAAAUUACAAAAUCACUUCAUUUGGGAAGAGUCGGAUUUCAUCUUCAGCUGAUGACAAGUGAGAAAACAACCAUUGCAAAUUUGCAAUAUUGCAUGGUGCCGUGACUGCCGUCACCUAGGGCUUUCACAGCACUAACACUCCCAAGUCCCAAUUCCCAAAUCGAAGCUGCUCUCCGCCUCUCCGGCCUCCGCCAGUCCGCCGCGCUCUACGCCUCCUGUCGGCUGUGUCCUGCCGUGCUGGUUCAUCGCUGCCGAGUGUCGAAGACGAAGCACCAAGAUCUCACUGGUUCAUCGCUGGUUCAUCACUGCUCAUCUCUGGCUCGCUUAGGUGGUAGCAACUAAAGAUUGAUAGUGAUGUCUAUCACUUUCUUGGCGAUCAAUAAAGCCCCUCAUUUGGUUGGAAGCUUCGAAGCUUGUACAAGUUCUUUCAACUUUUGCAACCUGAAGAAUCUUUUGUUUUAAUUUUAUGCUAGUGGCAGCAUUGUUUGCUAUUGUUAUAGAACUUUGAACAACUUUUCUGAUUAAUUUGCUAUGCUAGUAUUGAUUAUGACUUUUAUUCUAAGAAAUGGUAUUGGAGCAAUUGGAUUUGCUUUUAAAAUACUAGAUCAUUUUAUAAUUUCAUAAUUUUUUCUUCAUAUAUAGCUGAUUGCAAAUUGUAUAACAGGGAGUACUAGUAGGUUGUUUCAUCCUUUAAAAAAAAUAAAAUCUCUUGGCAGGUUAAAGUGUCGGC
Molecule: long non-coding RNA, 770 nt
Organism: Coffea arabica (coffee)
Lineage: Eukaryota; Viridiplantae; Streptophyta; Magnoliopsida; Gentianales; Rubiaceae
Source: RefSeq, a predicted model, not a curated record